CCCUGGUUAGCUCAGUUGGUAGAGUGCUCCACCUGUUAUGGAGAGGUCGCGGGUUCGAUACCCAGACCAGGCG
Molecule: non-coding RNA, 73 nt
Organism: Ixodes scapularis (black-legged tick)
Lineage: Eukaryota; Metazoa; Arthropoda; Arachnida; Ixodida; Ixodidae
Source: Rfam